CCUACGGGGGGCAGCAGUGAGGAAUAUUGGUCAAUGGACGAGAGUCUGAACCAGCCAAGUAGCGUGAAGGAUGACUGCCCUAUGGGUUGUAAACUUCUUUUAUAUGGGAAUAAAAUGUUCCACGUGUGGGAUUUUGUAUGUACCAUAUGAAUAAGGAUCGGCUAACUCCGUGCCAGCAGCCGCGGUAAUACGGAGGAUCCGAGCGUUAUCCGGAUUUAUUGGGUUUAAGGGGAGCGUAGGUGGAUUGUUAAGUCAGUUGUGAAAGUUUGCGGCUCAACCGUAAAAUUGCAUUUGAAACUGGCAGUCUUGAGUACAGUAGAGGUGGGCGGAAUUCGUGGUGUAGCGGUGAAAUGCUUAGAUAUCACGAAGAACUCCGAUUGCGAAGGCAGUUCACUGGACUGCAACUGACACUGAGGCUCGAAAGUGUGGGUAUCAAACAGGAUUAGAUACCCCUGUAGUC
This 460-nucleotide ribosomal RNA is filed under the name uncultured bacterium. RNAcentral describes it as "partial 16S ribosomal RNA". It matches the Rfam family "Bacterial small subunit ribosomal RNA", at positions 338 to 795 of the family's 1533-position model. The record is from RNAcentral.